Molecule: long non-coding RNA, 263 nt
Filed under: Malus domestica (apple)
Lineage: Eukaryota; Viridiplantae; Streptophyta; Magnoliopsida; Rosales; Rosaceae
Description: long non-coding RNA (MDOM_LNC009628)
Source: RNAcentral
AUUUUGGGGCUUACAUCACAUCAAACUUCAACGAUCUGAACCAUAUAUUUUUCAAGUUGGAACUCAUAGAUCAUUUAAUUGAGUUCAAAGAAAAUUGACGAACACUUUGUUAUAUGAAAAUUGACAAACACUUUGUUCUAUAAAAGAAACAAUAAAUUUCAUCAUGAUAAUUAAAUAGGUAAAUAGUUUCGAAUUAAAUUAAAUUUUUGCAAGCUGAUCUAUGGAUCGAGACUUACAAAAUAGAUAGUUUGGAUACUUGAAAU